GUUGAGGGGCAGCAUGAAUGAUAGCAAUAUUAUUUGAUGGCGACCAGCGCACGGGUGCGUAACACGUAUGCAAUCUACCUUAUACUGGAGCACAACCCCGAGAAAUCGAGGCUAAUUCUCCAUAACACCGCAUGAUAGCAUUAUCAAGCGGUUAAAGCUCAGGCGGUAUAAGAUGAGCAUGCGCCCGAUUAGCUAGUUGGCGAGGUAAUGGCUCACCAAGGCUACGAUCGGUAGGGGGUCUGAGAGGAUGAUCCCCCACACUGGUACUGAGACACGGACCAGACUCCUACGGGAGGCAGCAGUGAGGAAUAUUGCACAAUGGGGGCAACCCUGAUGCAGCCAUGCCGCGUGCAGGAUUGAAGGCGCUAUGCGUUGUAAACUGCUUUUGUACGGGAAAAAACCCUCGCUCGUGAGCGAGGCUGAUGGUACCGUAAGAAUAAGCACCGGCUAACUCCGUGCCAGCAGCCGCGGUAAUACGGAGGGUGCAAGCGUUAUCCGGAUUUAUCGGGUUUAAAGGGUCCGUAGGCGGAUCGUUAAGUCAGCGGUGAAAGCCCACAGCUCAACUGUGGAAUUGCCGUUGAUACUGGCGGUCUUGAGUAUAAGUGAAGUUGGCGGAAUGUGUGGUGUAGCGGUGAAAUGCUUAGAUAUCCCACAGAACACCGAUUGCGAAGGCAGCUGGCUAACUUGUAACUGACGCUGA
RNAcentral lists this ribosomal RNA (700 nucleotides) under uncultured bacterium. Its description in RNAcentral is "bacterial SSU rRNA". It matches the Rfam family "Bacterial small subunit ribosomal RNA", at positions 61 to 749 of the family's 1533-position model. The record is from RNAcentral.